Triticum aestivum (bread wheat) is the source of this 135-nucleotide non-coding RNA. The record is from Rfam. NCBI's taxonomy places the organism in Eukaryota, Viridiplantae, Streptophyta, Magnoliopsida, Poales, Poaceae.
CUAAUACUUCCUCCGUCCCAAAAUUCUUGUCUUAGAUUUAUCUAAAUACGGAUGUAUCAAGUCAUGUUUUAGUAUUGGAUACAUCCGUAUCUAGACAAAUUUAAGACAUGAAUUUUGGGACUGAGGGAGUAUAUG